Molecule: unclassified non-coding RNA, 197 nt
Filed under: rhizosphere metagenome
Description: partial ribosomal RNA internal transcribed spacer region
Source: RNAcentral
GUAGGUGAACCUGCGGAAGGAUCAUUACCUAGAGUUGCGGGCUUUGCCUGCCAUCUCUUACCCAUGUCUUUUGAGUACCUUCGUUUCCUCGGCGGGUCCGCCCGUCGAUCGGACAAAACUUAAACCCUUUGUAAUUGAAAUCAGCGUCUGAAAAAACUUAAUAGUUACAACUUUCAACAACGGAUCUCUUGGUUCUG